AGGAACACAGUAGAGAAAACAUAGUAGAAGAAACACACAAAAGAAAAAGAAAUCAGAUAAACAUCCAAACGGUAAGAAAGGCUUGUAUAGUCAUAAGCAGGAGGAGUCGAGGCCAGGCUUGAACAGACAGGGCUUGCUGGAACAAGGCCGGAGAUGGACACGAAACUUAAAUCAAGCAAGGUCUGGACCCAUCUUCUUCGUGGUUAGGCCAUGAAAGUUCAGCAACCAAGUGUACAGGAACCAUAGAAUGCUGGUAGGUGGUUAGACCGCCAUGGAUUCAGGCCAGGAGGUGGCCAGAGAAGGCGAGUGAAGCUCAUCGGAGCAGAG
This 327-nucleotide long non-coding RNA is filed under the name Nicotiana benthamiana. RNAcentral describes it as "long non-coding RNA (NBEN_LNC020178)". The record is from RNAcentral. Lineage: Eukaryota; Viridiplantae; Streptophyta; Magnoliopsida; Solanales; Solanaceae.